GAAACCGAGUCUUAACUGGGCGUUAAGUUGCAGGGUAUAGACCCGAAACCCGGUGAUCUAGCCAUGGGCAGGUUGAAGGUUGGGUAACACUAACUGGAGGACCGAACCGACUAAUGUUGAAAAAUUAGCGGAUGACUUGUGGCUGGGGGUGAAAGGCCAAUCAAACCGGGAGAUAGCUGGUUCUCCCCGAAAGCUAUUUAGGUAGCGCCUCGUGAAUUCAUCUCCGGGGGUAGAGCACUGUUUCGGCAAGGGGGUCAUCCCGACUUACCAACCCGAUGCAAACUGCGAAUACCGGAGAAUGUUAUCACGGGAGACACACGGCGGGUGCUAACGUCCGUCGUGAAGAGGGAAACAACCCAGACCGCCAGCUAAGGUCCCAAAGUCAUGGUUAAGUGGGAAACGAUGUGGGAAGGCCCAGACAGCCAGGAUGUUGGCUUAGAAGCAGCCAUCAUUUAAAGAAAGCGUAAUAGCUCACUGGUCGAGUCGGCCUGCGCGGAAGAUGUAACGGGGCUAAACCAUGCACCGAAGCUGCGGCAGCGACGCUUAUGCGUUGUUGGGUAGGGGAGCGUUCUGUAAGCCUGUGAAGGUGUGCUGUGAGGCAUGCUGGAGGUAUCAGAAGUGCGAAUGCUGACAUAAGUAACGAUAAAGCGGGUGAAAAGCCCGCUCGCCGGAAGACCAAGGGUUCCUGUCCAACGUUAAUCGGGGCAGGGUGAGUCGACCCCUAAGGCGAGGCCGAAAGGCGUAGUCGAUGGGAAACAGGUUAAUAUUCCUGUACUUGGUGUUACUGCGAAGGGGGGACGGAGAAGGCUAUGUUGGCCGGGCGACGGUUGUCCCGGUUUAAGCGUGUAGGCUGGUUUUCCAGGCAAAUCCGGAAAAUCAAGGCUGAGGCGUGAUGACGAGGCACUACGGUGCUGAAGCAACAAAUGCCCUGCUUCCAGGAAAAGCCUCUAAGCAUCAGGUAACAUCAAAUCGUACCCCAAACCGACACAGGUGGUCAGGUAGAGAAUACCAAGGCGCUUGAGAGAACUCGGGUGAAGGAACUAGGCAAAAUGGUGCCGUAACUUCGGGAGAAGGCACGCUGAUAUGUAGGUGAAGUCCCUCGCGGAUGGAGCUGAAAUCAGUCGAAGAUACCAGCUGGCUGCAACUGUUUAUUAAAAACACAGCACUGUGCAAACACGAAAGUGGACGUAUACGGUGUGACGCCUGCCCGGUGCCGGAAGGUUAAUUGAUGGGGUCAGCGCAAGCGAAGCUCUUGAUCGAAGCCCCGGUAAACGGCGGCCGUAACUAUAACGGUCCUAAGGUAGCGAAAUUCCUUGUCGGGUAAGUUCCGACCUGCACGAAUGGCGUAAUGAUGGCCAGGCUGUCUCCACCCGAGACUCAGUGAAAUUGAACUCGCUGUGAAGAUGCAGUGUACCCGCGGCAAGACGGAAAGACCCCGUGAACCUUUACUAUAGCUUGACACUGAACAUUGAGCCUUGAUGUGUAGGAUAGGUGGGAGGCUUAGAAGUGUGGACGCCAGUCUGCAUGGAGCCGACCUUGAAAUACCACCCUUUAAUGUUUGAUGUUCUAACGUUGACCCGUAAUCCGGGUUGCGGACAGUGUCUGGUGGGUAGUUUGACUGGGGCGGUCUCCUCCUAAAGAGUAACGGAGGAGCACGAAGGUUGGCUAAUCCUGGUCGGACAUCAGGAGGUUAGUGCAAUGGCAUAAGCCAGCUUGACUGCGAGCGUGACGGCGCGAGCAGGUGCGAAAGCAGGUCAUAGUGAUCCGGUGGUUCUGAAUGGAAGGGCCAUCGCUCAACGGAUAAAAGGUACUCCGGGGAUAACAGGCUGAUACCGCCCAAGAGUUCAUAUCGACGGCGGUGUUUGGCACCUCGAUGUCGGCUCAUCACAUCCUGGGGCUGAAGUAGGUCCCAAGGGUAUGGCUGUUCGCCAUUUAAAGUGGUACGCGAGCUGGGUUUAGAACGUCGUGAGACAGUUCGGUCCCUAUCUGCCGUGGGCGCUGGAGAACUGAGGGGGGCUGCUCCUAGUACGAGAGGACCGGAGUGGACGCAUCACUGGUGUUCGGGUUGUCAUGCCAAUGGCACUGCCCGGUAGCUAAAUGCGGAAGAGAUAAGUGCUGAAAGCAUCUAAGCACGAAACUUGCC
Molecule: ribosomal RNA, 2143 nt
Filed under: Escherichia coli
Lineage: Bacteria; Pseudomonadati; Pseudomonadota; Gammaproteobacteria; Enterobacterales; Enterobacteriaceae
Description: partial 23S ribosomal RNA
Rfam family: Bacterial large subunit ribosomal RNA
Source: RNAcentral